AAGUCGUAACAAGGUUUCCGUAGGUGAACCUGCGGAAGGAUCAUUAACACGUAUCCAAACGUUAAAACAACCCUGUGAACCUUCACGUGUUCUUGCAGGACAUCAAAACAGCAAUCCCGAGUAAAUCAGGCACUAAAGAAUUACAGAUUUUGAUUUUGGGAAGUUCUGUGUGUACGUGGACGCUGCAAUUGAGCGCUAGAUACAUCACCCUGGUACCCUAGAGCACAGGGUGGCGCAGUCAACGAUCGCUGUAGGUCCGACCGGCGACCGGGGUGGAGGCGAAAGCCCUUACGUCAUCCCUAUGUACCCUCCGGGACUUGGCGAAAGCUGACUCCGUCAUAAAUCGAACAACUGUUAAAAAUGGAUGUCUUGGUUCUC
RNAcentral lists this unclassified non-coding RNA (378 nucleotides) under fungal sp. RNAcentral's name for it is "partial internal transcribed spacer region". The stretch from base 1 to 46 matches the Rfam family "Eukaryotic small subunit ribosomal RNA", at positions 1786 to 1831 of the family's 1831-position model. The record is from RNAcentral. Lineage: Eukaryota; Fungi.